GUACGGGAGGCAGCAGUGGGGAAUAUUGGACAAUGGGCGCAAGCCUGAUCCAGCAAUGCCGCGUGUGUGAAGAAGGCCUUCGGGUUGUAAAGCACUUUUAUCGGGAACGAAAUACCAUUGGUUAAUAACCGGUGGGGCUGACGGUACCCGAGGAAUAAGCACCGGCUAACUUCGUGCCAGCAGCCGCGGUAAUACGAAGGGUGCAAGCGUUAAUCGGAAUUACUGGGCGUAAAGGGUGCGUAGGCGGUUAGUUAAGUCUGUUGUGAAAUCCCCGGGCUCAACCUGGGAAUGGCAAUGGAUACUGGCUAGCUAGAGUGUGUCAGAGGAUGGUGGAAUUUCCGGUGUAGCGGUGAAAUGCGUAG
RNAcentral lists this ribosomal RNA (362 nucleotides) under uncultured bacterium. Its description in RNAcentral is "bacterial SSU rRNA". It matches the Rfam family "Bacterial small subunit ribosomal RNA", at positions 339 to 693 of the family's 1533-position model. The record is from RNAcentral.